This 209-nucleotide ribosomal RNA is filed under the name uncultured bacterium. Its description in RNAcentral is "partial 16S ribosomal RNA". It matches the Rfam family "Bacterial small subunit ribosomal RNA", at positions 524 to 732 of the family's 1533-position model. The record is from RNAcentral.
UACGUAGGGUGCAAGCGUUAAUCGGAAUUACUGGGCGUAAAGCGCGCGUAGGCGGUUUUCUAAGUCUGAUGUGAAAUCCCCGGGCUCAACCUGGGAACUGCAUUGGAGACUGGAAGGCUUGAGUCCGGGAGAGGGAGGUGGAAUUCCACGUGUAGCGGUGAAAUGCGUAGAUAUCUGGAGGAACACCGGUGGCGAAGGCAGCCUCCUGG